GUUUUUUGUUGUUUUUUAU
Molecule: small RNA, 19 nt
Filed under: Arabidopsis thaliana (thale cress)
Lineage: Eukaryota; Viridiplantae; Streptophyta; Magnoliopsida; Brassicales; Brassicaceae
Description: ATSL068720
Source: RNAcentral